GGAGCCCCGGGAAGGGCCGGGCACAGGCUGCGGCCCCGGCGGAGCCCCGGGAAGGGCAGGACACAGGCUGCGGCCCCGGCAGAGCCCCGGGAAGGGCAGGACACAGGCUGCGGCCCCGGCAGAGCCCCAGUCCCUCUGCCCGGCCCUGCCGCAGCAGCCGCGGCGGGGCCGCCCAAAGGGGGCCGGGGGCGGUGGGAUCGGGCCGGCAGCGCAGCGAGGGGAGGCCGCCGAGCCCCGAGUUCGGCCAGAGCUGUCCCCUCUGAGCCGCUGCCCGAGCCAGGCACCGACCCAAAGGAGUUCUGCGUAUCUUGGACUGGGAAGACGGAGGAAAGGCCGUCCGAGGGGAAGUCACUCCUGUGAGGGCAUGGCUGUUGGAAGGGGAUGAAUCCAGCGCAACUGGCAGCGCAACUGUGCCAGCUGCCAGCACCGCAGCCAGCGGCGAGCACCCCGGCAAAUAGGGGCACCAAAAUUCAGAGCCUAAGGCCGAGGGUGAAAAUUUUGCCAGGAAUUACCUGAAAAAUGCUUCUGUUAAAAAAAGGGUGUAUUUGAGAACUGCUUUUAGGUCUCGACUUUGCCCUGUUGUUUACUCAAUGCUCAAGGCAAGGUUUAUAAAAUACUUUUUAUUGGACUAUCUGCAUUUCUUGGCAAAAAAAAGCUAAGCUUUGGGGCAAACAAAACCUUCAGACUUGUGCAGCUGUGGAAAGAUGUAAUGGGUACCUAAAUUACAGAAUCUCCUCUCCGUGCUGCCACACAGGCUUGGUAUAGGACUUGCAAACUGUUGCUACAUAGGGAAUAUCCCUGGGGAGCAGACUGGGGGAGUUCGAGGUAUACAAGACAUUCACCGAGUAGGUUUUGGCUCUGCACUAUCAGUAUAGUGAAAACAGGCCCUCAUUGGCUGUGACUGAAACAAAAGUAGAACUGCUAAGACAAGACAAAAAUGUAUCUCUCUUAACAGCUUUGGAAACAUCCCAGAACUGUAGUUGGAAGAGUAGCAGGUUAUGCUGUGAAAGAAGCAGAAUAGGAACAUUUUCCAAAAUUCCAAUGAGAUCAUCCUCUACACUCUGCUGACCAGUUUCUACAGAAAAAGAUUUUAAAGCUGCCUUACUUCAGGGUGUAAUUAUUCAGACUAACAAGAUGGGAGGCUUUGUAUAAAGGAAAAUUUGGAUAUGAAUACAGAUAUGAUUCUGCCAGAGGAUUUCUUCCCUCAACUCCCAAUUUAAGCUUUUCCGAACUAGCCUGGAACCAUUAGCUGGUGUUGAUGAAUGUCUGGAUUCUGGAUGAAAUCCCAUCUGGUCUACUCGUUGAAGAGUUUGUCCAAGAUAUUUCAGUCUUUUUCAGACAGUAACAAUAAUCCCAGAUCUUUUUCCACAGUGUCCCUUGACAUCUCAUUUAGCUCUACAGUUACAGAAUGCUAGUGACUCAAAAGAUUACUCCAAUGAGUUUUUGAAAUUGAAAAAGUUUGAAAGGUCUCUGUUUCUAAAAACUUUAUAAAACUAUUUCUCCAUUUUUUUACAUUGUCUAUAGUCACAAGAGAGAAUUUUUAAGGAGUCAGAGAGGAGUCAAGGUCACCAGACAAAUGGGUCUAACAAAAACUGACUGUGCCCACAGAAAAGAACAGCUAAACUGUCAUCUGUUUUUUGUUGUUUUUCUUCUAUUUCAGUUUUGCAGGUCAGCAUAGCAAAUAGUAUUGUUCUUGGGCAUCAAAAGGAAUAAAAGGAAAUAAAUUAUUACUGUAGCAUUUAGAGACUGAUCCUGUUAGCUACUGGGCUGAAAGCCUCUUUGAAAGGGCUAAAACCUUCAUCUCCUUUUGAUAUGAUUAAGUGCACUAAUCAUCUGUUCAACUUGAGUCAGUGUGAGAUCCAAGUAUGAGCACUUCACAAGCUGUUCCAUGUCGCUCUGACCAAAGCUACAGUCAGUCUGUAAAGUCAGGCUGACACCAGCACCUGCCCAAGGUGAGAAACUUCUCCUUGGGAACUGAGUCAGCUCUAGUUAACAAACCAGCCAACCAACUGCUGCUGCUGCCACCUUUAACCAGAAGAGGGGACACAGGAAGUGACCAGCUCUAGGAUCCAGGUAUCAGCAAGACAAAGUGCAGCAGCUCUGCUCUAAACUCUGGUUGGUUUUUUAUCCCACUGGGGAUUGAACCAAUUAUUCUAGGAAAACAUGAAUUCUAAGUUCCUUAGAGAUGACUCAAAGUAUUUCAGUUAAAGUUGCUUCAGAGUUGCACAACUGACAAAUCAAUAUUUUUAGCUUUUAGGAAAAUGUCUGUAGUUUAAUUAAAUAUUUUAGAUUAGAGAGGGGUUUUCUCUGCUCUUGAGUUGCUAUAUUUAAGCUACUUUUAAACUGAAUUAGAAAUGUGUUUUGAGUCCCUGGUAACUUUGGUCCUUGGGUGUUCUCCACCAAAACACAUUUUAUAAUUCUGUACUAGUAAAUACCACUACAGUAGAAUAACUUUAUCAAAUGUAUAUGACAUAGUGAUAUUUUUGGCUAUAUAAGAAGUCUUUGGUUUCAAAGCAUUUUCCUCAAAUUAAGCACCUACAGAAAAAGAAUUAUUCAUAUGUUACAGAAGGAGAAACUGAAACACAGAAUGACAAGCCAAAAAACAUUAGCCAUGUAGUAAUCUUGCAGACCUAUUUAAAGCAUUCAUUUUUCAAGAAUGUUUGGCAUCUACAUGUUUUCAGUAGUUCUGUAUAGUCCUCCAAAGCUUACGUCAACAGGUCUGAUACUGAACAACAAAGAGUGGAAGUAUAAUGUAUAACGUAUAAAGUAUAACGUUGCUUUUUUCUUUCCCAGUACACAUUUUAUGACCCUAGUCCUGUUUUCUAGCAAGCAGACCAUUCUUUUCUGGAAACUUCAAUGUUUCACUUUUUCAGUAGUGAUUUCAUUUCAGCUACAUUUCAAAGUUAAUGGUUCUGCGGCAAGUCACCAAUCUAUCUUACAGUAUCCAUCAGUACAACACUUUUAACACUUUCCUACAGAAUGUUUUUCCCAUCUUUCCAAGUUGUUGUGGGCAACAUUCCACUUAAAAAUUAUCUUGGAACUCACUAACUCCAUUUAGGAAAAAAAACCAACUUUAAAUUACAUGUAUUCUUUUCAAAACUGCCAAAGCAAACUAAAGCAACCCUUUCUGAAAAUUUCUUUAGAAUAAAUAACUCUAGGGAUAAAUAUCAGUUAGAUUCUCAAAAUAUGUCAUGGUUGCAUGGACAAUCAGAUGGUGAUUAGAGCUCCUAUAGCUCUUUCCAACAGAUGUGUUCAUGUAAUACAGGCCUCUAGUCAGCAGUCCAAAGGUCUUUUCAAGAUGAGAUAUAUGCUUUUCGUCCUAAACAUGUUAUUCUUAGAAGGUGGAUUUGAAUGUUGAGAGCAGUAAAUUAUUGAAAAGCACUCUAAUAGUUCACUUUCCAUUUGUAACAAAUCAAAUGACUGAAGAAAAGAUUGUACUACAAAUACUUCAGAGAAAGGGUCUUCCUAAUUAAAGAAAAUUUGUUUGACAAAUGACAAAAUGACAAAAACUAGAAUUAAGUUAAAUGAUAUAUGAAGUGAAUAGCAAACAAAGUGGUAGAAUACUUGUAGCUGAUGAGAAAGCAAUUCAAUAAUAGAGUGAAAUUACUUUGCAAAUAUUUAUAUACAAUACAUUUACUUAAAUUGAAAACCAUCUACUCUUGGAAGGAACUUCCUUUUCAACAGCAGUGAUUUGGCAAAAACAGCCCUGGGGGCAUUAUGUCCUGACAUUGUUGACAGGCAUGAAAAGUGCUCUGUAUGUUUCCAUUCCUAAGAAAACAAACUGAUAGCUCACAUUCACUUUCAUUCUCAGCUUGUGUCUCCUACUAGGAUCAUAGCUAAAAUCUGCUGGUCCUUCUUUGGCUUUAGGAUAAAAACUGUUCCAUAUAACUUCUUCAUCUUUUACUCAUCUGACAGGAACUGUAACUGCUCAUUCUUCUCCUUGUUGAGCAACUUCUCAUCUUCCUGCCUGAUGACCUUCUGUUCCACUCCUACUUCAGAGAUCCCACCACAGGUGGUUUACAGCUUGUUUACAUAUUUGCCACAAGACUUUUCCCCCAACCUAAUUUCACGUGCAGAGAUGUGGAAAAAGAAAGGAAAAAAAGUAGUUUUCUUCAAAUGUUGAACAAAGGCUUUAAUAGGAAUAGAGACAGAAAACACCUUCAAAGCUAUACUAUCUUUAGUUCUGCUUCACUAGAGAUCCCUUUGUCCAGAGUCUAUCAGUUUUACUCCUGUUUAAAUAAACAAUACACCUGUCCUUUCUUGUAUCUGCCAAUGACAGGGUGACUAUUCAGUAGCCAAAUUCAAAAUAGACCAAUUCAUAUGGAAAAAAGACAUCUGUCAUACAGACAAAUAUUUUUAAAGUUUGAACACUGGAAGUAGGAUUUUUUGGGUGUUAAUUACCUAAAUACACAGAGGAGCACACAGCAAAGUAUUCAGGUUUCUAAGUGUGUGUCUAGUUCCCAGUCCAAUUCAAUAGCACUUGCAAAAGUGUCAGCAGUGACAUAGGGCUACCUGAAAUUCCUGUGUACCUUCAGAGCACAGGGAUAGUCAUUCAUCUUCAGAAAUGUAGUAUUUAACUCUAUUGUAAAGUUAAUUCUUUAUGUUGUUAAUGACAAAGAACAAAAUAAAAUAAACCCAAAGAAUAUCAGCCAACAGGAAGCCUGAAUUAUUUCUUAUUCAGUGAAUGACCUCUAGUGGUCAUUCAUCACAGCUUUCACAGCAGUUGACAUGCCAGCUCGGAACAUGAUGUGCAUUGUUUGUGAAAUAUAGAACACGAGAAUCAAUUUUUCUUUUUUUUUUUUUUCAAAACUGUGUGUUGUGAAAUUUUUCUCUACCUCUGGCACUGUUAAAAUCAUAAUUUUUUUCACUUUAUGCAGUGAGCCCUGGGUACUCUGCAGGAGUUUUAAGCCAGAGCUCUAGCACCUGCAUUGCCCCUUGCUGUUUUCUCUUUGCUAGCCAGUGCCUCCCUCAAUCUUUGAAACCUCCCUCAGCCUCUUUGAAAUUUGUCAGAGACACCCUUCUGUCAUCCCACACAGCCUUGAGUGUAUUCUGUUAGCUUGAUAACCUCUGUUCAGCUUCUCAUAACAUCAUUGAAUUGCCUGAAAAGGGCCACCAGCCAUCAUCUCUCACUGCUGGCCAAAGUAGACCACUUCAUUCUGAACAUGUAGUGAGCUUAUCUGUCUAAAAAGCAAACUCAGCAGAUGUAAUACUUGCAAUAUAAUUGGGAAGAGAGCUCUAAUCCUCAGUAUUGUGGGACAUGAAAAGAAGUCUGAGUUAAACAUUCAGCAAUAUGUCAGAAAACAAAUGGUAUUCUCAUCUCACAGGGGUUUUAUCAGCAUUUCUGCUGAUCUUUCUGUGGCUUCUUUAAACAGUUGCGCCAGAUUGUUCUGCUGGACAUGCAUAUCAGUCCAGAUAUUCAAGAAUUUAUUGAAAGCUUUUGCUAAAGACAGAAAAUGGGUUCUGAGAAAUAGCUCCUCUAUUCCUACCUUUCUCAACUAUGGGUGUUAUAUAAGAAUUCUUAUAUUUUAUUUUGUAUGUAAAUGAGCAUAUCAUAUCUGCAACCCAAGCUGCAUCACAGGUGAAGGAUCCACAUGAUAAUUUUGUUAAUCUCAGGUAGCUUUUGGUAGUCAUCUUUUCCACUACACAAACCUGGUAACAGAGGAAGAACAGCACCUUCAAGAGGAGACCAGUGACCUAGGAAUUUAUGGUUAAAAGUUUUUUGAGAUUGCUUCAUAGCCCUACUUCCAGUACUGAGAGAUCCUUGAGAGAAACUUGAACAAAACAUUUUAUCUGUUUAAAAGGCAUUCUGAAAUUCUUGCUUACCAGAAUAGUUUCAAAAGAAGAAUGAUUUAUGUGAGAAAUAAAGUUUGGAAACUAUGCUGACAGAACAGUGAUGAACCUUUUCUAUGUAGGCAGCAUAAUCUACAUUGAAGAUGGGUUUUUUCCUUAAAAAAAGAGCAAAACAGUGGACAGUCUGUAUGACUACCUGUGUUGUAGUGUUCUAGGUAUUUUGCAAGAAAAAAAAAAAAAGGAAUAGAUCUGUAGAUGAGCAUGAGAUGUCAUCACAGUUUGAUCAGAAUGCUUACCAGGGGAGAAAUUCCAGUAUUAAAGGAAUUUUCCCCCUAAUUUCUCAUUCAUUUUACUGUAAGUGACAACAGUAGGUGGAUUCUAGAGAAUGGUUCAUUAAUAUUUUUUUCUUCCUAGAAAUUAGAGGAUAUGCAUCUUAAAGAUAAUAUUUGUAGGUAAGGUAUUUAGGGGCUUGUAUACCAAGUCAUGUACAAGUAGACGGUCAGUCCUUAAUCAUUAAACCAAAGUAUUAGAGAAUACUUUGUUUCUAGUCUGUAGUCAAGUCUAAUUCAGACAUUUUUUUUAUGUUAGAAUUGAUGUCUAGAUGCUACUCAAAAUAUUUUUUUCUAAUAUCCAAUAUUUUUGAACAUCUCAUUCAUUUAUCUCUGUUGAAACAGCUUGAUUUAUCUCUGUUGUUUGGUGAAACACUGUAGUAAAAAGUAUCAGACAAAAUAAUUUUUUAUUAUUAAAUAUUUUUUUCUUUGAAAUGCUGACUUUUCCACUGAAAAUUUCUUUGGAAUAUAACCUAAGAAGAAAUAUUCUUGUCUUGUUCCUAAUAUGAUCAUUUGCUCAGAUUUUUCUAGAGAUUGAAACUGUAUGGUACCAUGUGUCUCUCUCCUCAGUAAUUUUAAAUUAUACAUACUGAGACUCUUACUCUUUAUUUGGAAUGAAUUGGUAUUAGACAGUAUAAUUGGCUAUGAGAAAGCUAACUCAGCUGAAAAUUGUUUUCUAGGUAACUAGCCCUGUGUAGAAUUGGAAGGGUUUCCCUGAGUUGGUCUGGUCAGUGUGUCUGUGUGUAUAAUUUGCUCUGGGCUGAGAGUCCUUCUUCAGGGGUAUUAUGUGCAUGUAGAGUGCUUUGCCUAAAACUUCAUCUGUGCUCAAAGCCUUCAUAUCAAAAUCCAACAUAGUUUCUAACUAGUCCCUGCACUGGCUAUGAAGAUUCUAGUACUUUGUUUUUAACAAAUAACUCCAUUUUAAUGUAAUUUCCCAUUUUGAAGCUAAGCCCAAAAUCCAUGAAUAUUUUGGGCUUGUUGCUCCUGCAAGACAUUAAAUCCAAAUUUAUUAUCAUCAUUUUACAGAGUAGCUCUUUAACAGAAGUAUUCAGCAUCAAAAUCAGCUCAAGGAUACUAAAUCCUGUUGGUUGCAGAAGUUGGGUAGAUCUUCUUUUUGGGGGUUCAGAAUAGCCAGAAAUACAGCUCAUGAUCUUUUAGCUCAAU
Molecule: long non-coding RNA, 7283 nt
Organism: Parus major (Great Tit)
Lineage: Eukaryota; Metazoa; Chordata; Aves; Passeriformes; Paridae
Exons: 4
Source: RefSeq, a predicted model, not a curated record